Molecule: ribosomal RNA, 799 nt
Filed under: uncultured bacterium
Lineage: Bacteria
Description: bacterial SSU rRNA
Rfam family: Bacterial small subunit ribosomal RNA
Source: RNAcentral
AGAGUUUGAUCAUGGCUCAGAUUGAACGCUGGCGGCAUGCCUAACACAUGCAAGUCGAACGGCAGCGCGGACUUCGGUCUGGCGGCGAGUGGCGGACGGGUGAGGAAUACAUAGGAAUCUGCCCCAUUGUGGGGGAUAACGUAGGGAAACUUACGCUAAUACCGCAUAAGACGGCGACGUGAAAGCGGGGGAUCUUCGGACCUCGCGCGAUGGGAUGAGCCUAUGUCGGAUUAGCUAGUUGGCGGGGUAAAGGCCCACCAAGGCGACGAUCCGUAGCUGGUCUGAGAGGAUGAUCAGCCACACUGGAACUGAGACACGGUCCAGACUCCUACGGGAGGCAGCAGUGGGGAAUAUUGGACAAUGGGCGCAAGCCUGAUCCAGCAAUGCCGCGUGGGUGAAGAAGGCCUUCGGGUUGUAAAGCCCUUUUGUACGGAAAGAAAUCCUGGUGGUUAAUACCCGCCGGGGAUGACGGUACCGUAAGAAUAAGCACCGGCUAACUUCGUGCCAGCAGCCGCGGUAAUACGAAGGGUGCAAGCGUUAAUCGGAAUUACUGGGCGUAAAGCGUGCGUAGGUGGUUUCUUAAGUCUGUCGUGAAAGCCCUGGGCUCAACCUGGGAAUGGCGAUGGAUACUGGGAGGCUAGAGUGCGGUAGAGGAUGGCGGAAUUCCCGGUGUAGCGGUGAAAUGCGUAGAGAUCGGGAGGAACAUCUGUGGCGAAGGCGGCCAUCUGGACCAGCACUGACACUGAGGCACGAAAGCGUGGGGGAGCAAACAGGGAUUAGAUACCCUGGUAGUCCACGC